AGUGAACGCUGGCGGUAGGCCUAACACAUGCAAUUCGAACGGCAGCACAGUAAGAGCUUGCUCUUACGGGUGGCGAGUGGCGGACGGGUGAGGAAUACAUCGGAAUCUACUUUUUCGUGGGGGAUAACUUAGGGAAACUUACGCUAAUACCGCAUACGACCUACGGGUGAAAGCAGGGGAUCUUCGGACCUUGCGCGAUUGAAUGAGCCGAUGUCGGAUUAGCUAGUUGGCGGGGUAAAGGCCCACCAAGGCGACGAUCCGUAGCUGGUCUGAGAGGAUGAUCAGCCACACUGGAACUGAGACACGGUCCAGACUCCUACGGGAGGCAGCAGUGGGGAAUAUUGGACAAUGGGCGCAAGCCUGAUCCAGCCAUACCGCGUGGGUGAAGAAGGCCUUCGGGUUGUAAAGCCCUUUUGUUGGGAAAGAAAAGCAGCAGGUUAAUACCCCGCUGUUCUGACGGUACCCAAAGAAUAAGCACCGGCUAACUUCGUG
RNAcentral lists this ribosomal RNA (492 nucleotides) under uncultured bacterium. RNAcentral describes it as "partial 16S ribosomal RNA". It matches the Rfam family "Bacterial small subunit ribosomal RNA", at positions 29 to 507 of the family's 1533-position model. The record is from RNAcentral.